RNAcentral lists this ribosomal RNA (1009 nucleotides) under Ambrosiodmus aegir. Its description in RNAcentral is "eukaryotic LSU rRNA". It matches the Rfam family "Eukaryotic large subunit ribosomal RNA", at positions 52 to 814 of the family's 3401-position model. Lineage: Eukaryota; Metazoa; Arthropoda; Insecta; Coleoptera; Curculionidae. The record is from RNAcentral.
GGAGGAAAAGAAACUAACUAGGAUUCCCUCAGUAGCUGCGAGCGAACAGGGAAGAGCCCAGCACCGAAUCCCGCGGCCGAUACCGGGCGCCGGGAAAUGUGGUGUUAGGGAGGGUCCAUUAUCCCGAGAUCAUGCGAUGCGUCCAAGUCCUUCUUGAACGGGGCCACAGCCCAUAGAGGGUGCCAGGCCCGUAGUGACUGCUGCUGAUCGCGGGAGGAUCUCUCCUCAGAGUCGGGUUGCUUGAGAGUGCAGCCCUAAGUGGGUGGUAAACUCCAUCUAAGGCUAAAUAUGACCACGAGACCGAUAGCGAACAAGUACCGUGAGGGAAAGUUGAAAAGCACUUUGAAGAGAGAGUUCAAGAGUACGUGAAACCGUUUAGGGGUAAACCUGAGAAACCCGAAAGGUCGAAGGGAGAAAUUCAUUCGCGUUUCGCCGUCGGCGUGAGACGGUCGUGUGACGGGAGGCGUUCGCGUUUCCCGCUCCUUCCGUUUUUCGAUCCGAUAGCGAACGCGUGCACUUUUCUCCUGGUAGGACGUCGCGAUCCGUUGGGUGUCGGUCUACGGCUCGCGGUGGAGCCCGGAUGUUUUUCGGAACGUUCGGACCCGCGUGUCCCGGCUGACUCGCUCGACGGUAUACAAAAGGUUAAAGGCCGCUUUUAAAGCGUUCGGCUCGUAGCAAGCGCGUCAGAUGUGUCGGCGAUCGGACCUGGUGCCGGUUCUGACCUCUGGCGACUGUUGGCCGCGAAGUUCUCGGACAGACCUUAGACCGAUCUGCGACGCUAUAGCUUUGGGUACUUUCAGGACCCGUCUUGAAACACGGACCAAGGAGUCUAGCAUGUGCGCGAGUCAUUGGGAAUCAUUAAACCUAAAGGCGCAAUGAAAGUAAAAGUCCUCCUCGCGCGGACUUAGGGAGGACGGGCGGUUUACCCUUAAAAGUGGCCGCCCCGCACUCCCGGGGCGUCUCGUUUCUCAUCGCGAGAAGAGGCGCAUCAAGAGCGUACACGCUGGGA